GACUGAGGUCGCCUUUUCCUGCGGUUGUCUGCUGGGGAUCACUCUUAACUUCUACAGGCUGCCUGCGGUUCCUUGCCACGUGGCCCACGGGCAGCUCACAACAUGGAUGUUUGCUUUCUUCCAGGCAACCUGGAGUGUUGACUUCCUCUUCUGCAACCAGCCAGAGAAAGUGCUCUGCUCUUAAAGGACUUGCCUGCUUAGGACAGGCCCACCCAGGACAGUCUCCGUUUCCUCCCAGAACACAUUUCACAUGUUCCAUUUACACUCAAGAGGAGGAGAUGAUAUGGGGGGAGAGGGAGAGGGAGAGGGUCCUAGGGAAUCAUCUUAAAAUUCUGCCUGCUAUAUCCAUGUACAGUGAAUCUCAUUCAGAUUAAUCACAUUUCACAUGCUUAGUACUCUCAUCUGUCUAGUGGCUGCCAUAUUGGACCUCCUAGCUCUAGGCUGUUCCGCUUCAGUCCUUCCCUCACAGUAAGAAGUUAGAGCAGGAAGUUUGCAAUCAUCUUGCCUAAUUCCCUCGUUUUAUCAACAAAGAAACUGAAGCAGAUCUGUGGAGAAGCAGAUCUCCCAUUUCCUGGGCCAGUACUCUCUCUCUGUAGCCUUCACUGCCCCCCAAAACUUAAGGGGUACCUCCGCCCCGGAGUUGGAGCAGUAGCUUCCAAAAAGAGAAAAGACAGAGCUUUUUCCCAAGGGCAGAAGAGCUGGAAACGAGGAUCUGGUUUCAUCCCGCAGAUCACAUGGGAAGUAUAUGGAGUGUGAGAUUAAUUCAUGAGUGAUAGGAAUGGGAAGAGGGACAUUAUGGACCUCUGAGGCUAAAGGGGGUAUCCAUACCCAUUAUGUACCACGGAUGAGCUGUGCCCCAAAUUCUCCUUCAGUCCCUGGCCAGAAAUGGCCAUCUGAAUCCAUGAGGUUUUACCCUAGAGAGUAAGCUUGAUGUUGCAUGAAGUACAGAAAUUUUUGUAUUUAAGUAGACUAGGUGUGGCAGGCAGUUUCUAGAAUGUGUGGCAGUGAUGUCUGCCUCCUGGUAUUCAUGCCCUUGUGUAAUCCCUCCUCCUUGAGCAUGGGCAGGUUUUCCUGAUUUGCCUCUAAUGAGCAGAAUAUGGCAAAGGUGAGGGAAUGUUGCUUCCAGGAUUGGGUAACACAAGAUUGACGUCCUGCUGGUUUUGAUGAAGCAAGUUGCCAUUGUGGCAAGGUAAGGACCCGAGGGCAAACUCUGGCCAACGACGAACUAGAAACUGAGGAAGUCAGUCCUACAGCCUGCACGGAACUGGAAUUCUGCCAACAACCAUAUGGACUUGAAAGUGGAUCCUUCUGCAGUCGAGACUCAGUUAAGACCCCAGCCCUGGCUGAACGCCUUUAUGUCAGUUUUGUGAGCCCCCGAAGCUGAGGACUCAGCUGAGCUGUGCCUGGAUUCUUGACCCACAGUAACUACGAAAUAACAAAUGUGUGUUGUUUGAAGCCACUACAGGCUUGUGACACAGUAAGAGACGAUGAAUACACUGAGUUUGCAUCCUGCCUUUACCACUAAAUGGCCGUGGGACCACGAGCCACGUGAUGUCUCCUCUUGGAUCCUUAUCUUCCUCGUCUGUAAAAUGGGAACAACACCUACCUUUCGGGAGUGUGGUGAAGAGAACCUCUUGCCCUUUCUUUACCCAGCGUAUCAGUUAAGAUUCAACAUAAGUUACGAGAACGCAAAGUGAGCCACGGUGGCCUAUCUGGAGAGGAGGUGACUUUUUUCGGCAAUCCAGGUGCAGCCGCCCAGGAAUGGCGCUGAAGACCCAGGCUCCUUGGCUUUUCCUCCCCUGCUCUUCUUGUGUGGCUCUCAUCCCUGCAGCAGUUAGAAGAUUGGCAGCUCCACUUCAGGCCUGCCUCAACUGUCCGUCAUCCCAACACCAGUGGCUUCUGGGCAAGCCCUUCUCAUGGCAGAGGGCAGAAGCUCUGAGAAGGGCAAACAGAAUCCCUGAGUGGUGACUCCCCUGUGACCACACUGCCAGGUCAAAGGAAAAAGGAAAGAAGACCCAGGAUUCCCAACUUAACCUGUGCGGUGGGCUGCCCAGCCCGGAUUCCACUGGGAUACAAGAGGAAACCCAGCAGAUACAGCAGGGAGGAAUCUGCCUGCCUCCCGCCCCUCCCCAAAGUGAGUCCUGAGUGAAUGGGACAGUCAGGGAUCCAGCCCUCUGGGUCCAGGAAUGUCCCUUGGGAUGGCUGUCGUUCCCUCUUCGACCCCCUCCCCCGCCCUCCUAGGCCCUGACUACAGACUGACCCUUGAGAAAUCCAGGUGAAGGAGGUAUCGUCCUAUGGGAGACGGGCUCUACCACAAAAAUGACAUCCCAACUGUUCAAGCAACAUUCCCCAAAUGUGGAGCAAUUUGAAACGAUCUUAGAAUGGACCUGGAUGCAACAUUUUGCACUGACUCUUGAGAAAGUUCUCUUCUCAGUCCUUCUGAUUACCCCAGGAAAGGGGUCACGGUUUUGAGAUCUGUGUCUUUAACAUGUCUUUAACCCUUGUUAAUCUUCGUUUAUUACCAGUU
Long non-coding RNA from Ailuropoda melanoleuca (giant panda), 2527 nucleotides. RefSeq lists it as uncharacterized. NCBI's taxonomy places the organism in Eukaryota, Metazoa, Chordata, Mammalia, Carnivora, Ursidae. The transcript has 3 exons. The record is from RefSeq and is a predicted model, not a curated record.